RNAcentral lists this small RNA (315 nucleotides) under Histoplasma capsulatum var. duboisii H88. RNAcentral's name for it is "Histoplasma capsulatum H88 hypothetical RNA". Lineage: Eukaryota; Fungi; Ascomycota; Eurotiomycetes; Onygenales; Ajellomycetaceae. The record is from RNAcentral.
UCCCCGGACCGUUUAAUUCUCCCACUUUCCAAGGAGUGAGGAUUCGGAUAGAAAUUAAAUCCUGAUAAAAAUAAACAAGUUCAUGCUCCUGCAAUUUGCAGGAAGGGAAUACGGAGAUUAUUCCCACAUGGGUGGUGGGUGGAUGCUGAGGGGGCCAAAAAAAAAAGUCCAACAGAAAAAAUCCUUGCUUCCACAGCAAAAGGAAGGAAAAACUAACUGUGCGGAGGAACCAUCUGAGCUCGGCUUCUUCAACAUACGCCCAAGCGAUCGGCAAAUGCUGUAUGCACGAUGCCACUUUCGCUCCAGUGUUUUCCA